Molecule: transfer RNA, 75 nt
Filed under: bacterium
Lineage: Bacteria
Description: tRNA-Glu
Rfam family: tRNA
About the family: Transfer RNA (tRNA) molecules are approximately 80 nucleotides in length. Their secondary structure includes four short double-helical elements and three loops (D, anti-codon, and T loops).
Source: RNAcentral
GGGGCUAUGGUCUAGUGGUGAGGACACCACCCUUUCAAGGUGGUAUCACGGGUUCGAGUCCCGUUAGCCCCACCA